RNAcentral lists this ribosomal RNA (361 nucleotides) under Myxarium minutissimum. Its description in RNAcentral is "partial large subunit ribosomal RNA". It matches the Rfam family "Eukaryotic large subunit ribosomal RNA", at positions 127 to 482 of the family's 3401-position model. Lineage: Eukaryota; Fungi; Basidiomycota; Agaricomycetes; Auriculariales; Hyaloriaceae. The record is from RNAcentral.
GUCUUUGGCCGUCCGAGUUGUAGUUUAGAGAGGUGUUUUCCGCGUCGGACCACACACAAGUCCUUUGGAAUAAGGCUUCAUAGAGGGUGAGAAUCCCGUACAUGGUGUGGACUACCGGGGCUAUGUGAUGCACCCUCAAAGAGUCGAGUUGUUUGGGAAUGCAGCUCAAAAUGGGUGGUAAAUUCCAUCUAAAGCUAAAUAUUGGGGAGAGACCGAUAGCGCACAAGUACCGUGAGGGAAAGAUGAAAAGCACUUUGGAAAGAGAGUUAAACAGUACGUGAAAUUGCUGAAAGGGAAACGCUUGAAGUCAGUCGCGUCUGCACAGACUCAGCCGGGGUUCUCCAUGGUGUACUUCUGAGUA